CCUACGGGCGGCAACAGUGAGGAAUAUUGGUCAAUGGACGAGAGUCUGAACCAGCCAAGUAGCGUGAAGGAUGACUGCCCUAUGGGUUGUAAACUUCUUUUAUAUGGGAAUAAAAUGUUCCACGUGUGGGAUUUUGUAUGUACCAUAUGAAUAAGGAUCGGCUAACUCCGUGCCAGCAGCCGCGGUAAUACGGAGGAUCCGAGCGUUAUCCGGAUUUAUUGGGUUUAAAGGGAGCGUAGGUGGAUUGUUAAGUCAGUUGUGAAAGUUUGCGGCUCAACCGUAAAAUUGCAGUUGAAACUGGCAGUCUUGAGUACAGUAGAGGUGGGCGGAAUUCGUGGUGUAGCGGUGAAAUGCUUAGAUAUCACGAAGAACUCCGAUUGCGAAGGCAGUUCACUGGACUGCAACUGACACUGAGGCUCGAAAGUGUGGGUAUCAAACAGGAUUAGAUACCCCAGUAGUC
This 460-nucleotide ribosomal RNA is filed under the name uncultured bacterium. RNAcentral describes it as "partial 16S ribosomal RNA". It matches the Rfam family "Bacterial small subunit ribosomal RNA", at positions 338 to 795 of the family's 1533-position model. The record is from RNAcentral.